This 492-nucleotide ribosomal RNA is filed under the name uncultured bacterium. RNAcentral's name for it is "partial 16S ribosomal RNA". It matches the Rfam family "Bacterial small subunit ribosomal RNA", at positions 29 to 507 of the family's 1533-position model. The record is from RNAcentral.
AGUGAACGCUGGCGGUAGGCCUAACACAUGCAAGUCGAACGGCAGCACAGUAAGAGCUUGCUCUUACGGGUGGCGAGUGGCGGACGGGUGAGGAAUACAUCGGAAUCUACUUUUUCGUGGGGGAUAACGUAGGGAAACUUACGCUAAUACCGCAUACGACCUACGGGUGAAAGCAGGGGAUCUUCGGACCUUGCGCGAUUGAAUGAGCCGAUGUCGGAUUAGCUAGUUGGCGGGGUAAAGGCCCACCAAGGCGACGAUCCGUAGCUGGUCUGAGAGGAUGAUCAGCCACACUGGAACUGAGACACGGUCCAGACUCCUACGGGAGGCAGCAGUGGGGAAUAUUGGACAAUGGGCGCAAGCCUGAUCCAGCCAUACCGCGUGGGUGAAGAAGGACUUCGGGUUGUAAAGCACUUUUGUUGGGAAAGAAAAGCAGCAGGUUAAUACCCCGCUGUUCUGACGGUACCAAAAGAAUAAGCACCGGCUAACUUCGUG